UACGUAGGGUCCAAGCGUUAUCCGGAAUCACUGGGCGUAAAGCGUGCGUAGGUGGAUUGUUAAGUGCAAUGCGAAAUCCUGUGGCUCAACCAUAUGGACUGUAUUGCAUACUGGCAAUCUGGAGGACAUGAGAGGCAAGUGGAAUUACUGGUGUAGCAGUGAAAUGCGUAGAUAUCAGUAGGAACACCAAUGGCGAAGGCAGCUUGCUGGCAUGUAUCUGACGCUAAGGCACGAAAGCGUGGGGAGCGAACAGG
RNAcentral lists this ribosomal RNA (254 nucleotides) under uncultured bacterium. RNAcentral's name for it is "partial 16S ribosomal RNA". It matches the Rfam family "Bacterial small subunit ribosomal RNA", at positions 524 to 776 of the family's 1533-position model. The record is from RNAcentral.